UAUGAUUUUCUAUUUUGCAUUGUCAAUGCCUAUUGUCCUGCUGAAAGAGUUGGAAGGAUUUAAUAAUUCUUGAUAUGAACAAUAAGAUUGAGCUCUAAGGUUUUGCUUGCUCUGUUGUUCCAGUUUGUGCUUAUUGAGUAUGUUUGUGCUCACCAUGUUUUUUCAGAUUGUAAUAUCUAAGUUUCAUUGUUGGAUAAGUGAAAAAUGCUCUUUUAUUCUAUACUUCUGGUUGUACUCAGGAUAUGAGGAUUUAGUUUUGUUAGAGUUGCGUUCAAGAAUCGAAUGAACAGAAAGAAAAUCUGAAUCUUAUUGAUGGUAAUCACACGAAGAAGAGUACACAGGCUUCCAUUGAGCUAAACUGUAUCGAGUGGAGAAGGAGAGAAAAAUUAGGGAAAACUGAAUUAGAUUUAACUAAUAAAAUCUGUCUUUUAAACAAUAGAGGCAAAAGCUAUUUUCUCUAAUCAUCUCAACUAAAACAAAUCUAACUGUUCCUGAAGCUCAUCAAGCGGAUUGUCUUCACUCCACUGAUCUGGCUCACUCAAAUAAUCACACAUUUAGCAUUCACACCGACAAGUUUUUAUAUAAAAUAUCUUAGGAUACACUUCAAUGAUCAAUAAUAUUAUGUUGCUCGGUGGGUCUAGAUGCAAAAUAUUUCAUACUCUCAAUGUUAGCUAGUUAAGUAACCUUUAAGCCAAAACAGAAUCAGCUCUCUUCAUCACCCCCACCGUUCUCGUCUUUCUCUCCCCUACUGCUUUAUCGUUCUCCACACCUGCCAAUUCUAUUUGAUUCGAAAGAAUUCAAUCUCUCUCUUCUUGUGUGCUCUAUCUCGGCCGAAGGGUUAUCGUGCCAUCACACCACUGUCGUGCUUUGUCUUCUCUCUCAGGUUCGGUAGGGAUUUAUUAAUAUGGAUAAAAGUUGGAAGACAAAGUCAAGAGUAACAGAUGAGUACCAAAAUGGACUUCAGUACUUUUAAGGUUAUGCUUUUCGCAAUGCAAGCAUAAAUGAUAAGAUAUUGUGUCCAUGCAAACGCUGCCAAAUGACAAUAUUUGCGAGUAGAGACGAGGCGUAUGAACAUUUGAUAGUCGAUGGAUUUAUUCCUGGAUACACAGAUUGGAUAGCUCAUGGAGAACUUCCUAGUAUUCUUGCUUCUAGGCGUGAAAACCAACAUAAUAAUGUAGAGGCUUUAGGUGAUGAUGAUAUGCAGGGUUUAGUUCAUGAUGUCUUUGGGGUUCCUAAUGAAGAUGGAUAUACGGACGGUACUAAUUCCCAAAUGGAUUCUGAAAUUGCUAAUGGGCAAGCAAGAGAGUUCUAUAGAUUGAUUGAUGAUUCAAACCAGCAUUUAUAUGAAGGAUAUGCUAAAUUCUCAAAACUAUCAUUCAUAAUCCGUUUGUUGCAUUUAAAGUGUCUUGGGAGAUUAAAUAAUAAGGUAUUUGAUAUGCUAUUGGACUUACUAAGAGAUGCUUUUCCUGAUGCCAUGGUUGGUCUACCAAAGUCUUAUUAUGAAGCUGAUAAUUUGAUGAAAAAGCUAGGCCUUGGUUAUGAGAAAAUUGAUGCUUGUCCGAAUGAUUGCACUCUAUAUUGGGGGGUGAAUGAAAAUAAAACUUCAUGUGACACAUGCAAUAAGCCUAGAUGGUGUACUACUGAUAAAGAUCCCACGGGUGAGAAAAGAAAGGUUGCCCAAAAGGUGUGGUAUUUUCCACUCAAACGAAGGUUGCAAAGGUUGUUCAUGUCUUCAAAAACGGCAUCUCAUAUGAGAUGGCAUGCUGAAAGUCGUACGAAGGAUGGGUAUAUGAGACAUCCCGUCGAUUCCCCAGCAUGGAGCACAUUUGAUAGUUUGCAUCCUAAUUUUCUGAGGAAUCUCGUAAUGUUCGAUUGGGAUUAGCGUCAUAUGGAAUUAAUCCCUUCAAAAAUAUGAGUGUAUCACACAGCACGUGGCCUGUCAUAUUGUUUCCAUAUAACCUUCCUCCAUGGAUGUGCAUGAAAGAGUCUUCUUUUAUGUUAUCUCUAUUGAUACCCGGUCCAUCAGCUCCUGGACAAAAUAUUGAUAUUUAUUUGCAACCACUUAUUGCUGAUCUAAAGGAUUUAUGGGAAGUAGGAGUUGAAACAUAUGACGCAUCUAAAAAGCAAAAUUUUCAGCUACGUGCUUCAUUGUUAUGGUCAAUUAGUGAUUUUCCAAGAUAUGCCUAUUUAUCCGGGUGGAGUACCCAAGGUGAAUAUGCAUGUCUGGUAUGUAACAAAGAAACACAUUCUAUUAGACUGAAACAUGGUGGAAAGUAUUGUUACAUGGGUCAUCGAAGAUUCCUACCUAAAGAACACGAGUUUCGAAAGAAUAGACGACUCUUCGAUGGCACAGUUGAGUACGGAGAAGCACCGCAACAACUAUCUGGCGAUAUGGUGAUGGAUGACUUGAGAGACUUUACUAUGAAAUAUGGUAAGCUAGUUAAAGAUAAUACAAAGCUUUUCAGUUGGAAAAAAAGAGUAUAUUUUUUGAGUUGCCAUACUGGAAAGAUAAUAUGGUUCGUCAUAAUCUUGAUGUCAUGCAUACUGAAAAAAAUGUUUGCGAGAGCAUCUGUGCCACAUUGUUGGAUUUGGAUGGUAAAUCAAAAUACAAUUAUAAAUCACGCCAAGACUUGGAACAGAUGGGAAUAAGACCUGAACUUCAUCCAAUUACUAAGGAGGGUGGAAAAGUUUAUUUACCUGUGGCAGCAUUUACAAUGAGCAAGAAGGAGAGGACAAUAUUUUGUCAGGUUUUGAAAAAUCUUAAAGUUCCUGAUGGUUAUGCCUCAAACAUCUCAAGGUGUGUUCAGUUAAAACCACCAAAAUUGCUAGGCUUGAAAAGUCAUGACUAUCAUAUUAUGAUGCAACAAUUAUUACCUAUAGCAUUGCGAAAAACACUCUAUAGGACAUUACGUUCACCUUUGAUUCAGCUUAGUAAGUACUUUCGAGAACUCUGUUCUAAUAUUAUUUGCCUUGCUGAUAUCUUUCGUUUAGAGAAAGAUAUUGUUGUGGUACUUUGCCAAUUGGAGAAGAUAUUUCCACCAUCAUUCUUCGAUGUAAUGGUGCACUUGAUUGUACAUUUGGCUACCGAAGUGAAGCUAUGUGGGCAGGUUCACUACCGUUGGAUGUAUCCAAUAGAGAGAUAUUUGGGCACAUUGAAAUCAUAUGUUCGUAAUCGAAGUAAACCUGAAGGUUCGAUUGCUGAAGGAUAUCUAGCAGAAGAAUGUUUGAGGUUUUGCUCUUUGUAUUUAGCUGACUAUGUGGAGUCAAAGUUUAAUCGAGCAUCUAGGAACGAAACUGUUACAAAUAAUGCAAAAAUAGGAUUAGAUGUAUUUACGAUUAACGGUCGUUCUCUUGGAAAAGGAACUGCAAUGAGAUUAGAUGGCGUAACAUUGACGAAAGCUCAUCAAUAUGUAUUGUUCAACUGUGAGGCUGUCAGACCAUACAUUGAGCAAUAUUGGGCAGUAGUUGAACAAUCUAAUCCUCGCGUUGCACGUCAUCAGUUGGAACGUAUCCACAGUGAAAGGUUUGCUGAUUGGUUUGCUCAAUAUGUUGAAGGGUUAAUUGUCCAUGAGGAAAAUCCAAUAUUAAGAGCUCUGAAGUUACUUGCUCGCGGGCCUAAUAUAAUUGGAGUGAAAUAUAAAAAGUAUAUUGUAAAUGGUUUUCGGUUCCACACGAAAGAUUUGAAGUGUACAAAGAAAACACAAAAUAGUGGGGUGCGUGUUAAAGCUACAACGUCAAGUUUUUCAAGUACUAGGGAUCAAAAUCCAAUCUUAAGCGAGUUGGACUAUUAUGGAAUUCUAACCGAUGUCGUUGAGCUGGAUUACAAUUGUGGACAUAGAGUUGUGUUAUUUGAUUGUGAAUGGGUGUCAAAAGGAAAACGAUUGAAGACAGAUGCUAAUGGAUUUACAUUAGCUAAUUUUUCAAAUGUGAUACGCCAUAAUGAACCAUUUAUUCUUGCAUCUCAAGUUGAGCAAGUCUUCUAUGUAGAGGAUCCAACUGAAUCAUAAUGGAGCGUAGUUGUCUCUGCUGCAGCACGAGCUCAUUAUGACAUGGAACCUAUUAUCGAUGUGGAGACUUACUUACAAAGUAAUAUUUGUGUUCCUGCUGAUAAUAUAGGGUUGGAUGACUUUGGUUGGGUUCGUGAAGACAUCGAUGGAAUAGAGGUUGACUUAAAUGAAUGAUUUUGAUGACUUAUAUGUUAUCAGAUGGUGGUUAUCGAACAACAUUCAGUAUGGAAACUACGAUGCUAAGCUUGUCCCUGUUGGAUGUGGAAAUUAUGAGGUUGUCAACACCAUGACAGCAGCCAAGAAGGGUACAAAGUGAAGUGUGUUCACUCCACAUUUCAGCUCUCCCUAUAUUUCUUACAAGAACUCUUAUGUUUUAUCGGUCUUGAAACUUUUGGGCUUUCAAACCUGUCUGGUAUAUGUCGUGCAACUUUGGCUCCCAUAAUUGGAUUCUGGAUCGUGGAUGGCGUCAGUUACUAUGUCUCUGUUGCUAUGAAUCUUAGUUUGUCUUGAUUGAGAUAGGUGUGAAAAUUUUGUGCAAAUGCAUUCUCAUUUGAGAUUUUUAUACUAUGAAUGAGUUUCAUUGUUAACUUGAGGUCUUACACGAUUCAGUUGAGCUACACUGUCUAGUUAGUUUGAUCACAAUAUGAUUCAUAAGAUUGAUUUUCUGAUAUGGUACAUGAAAUGGAGCUGGAAUGCAUGUGUUUAGAUUAGCAUUUGUAUGAGAUUCUGAUAUAUAGCUUUGUUGCCACACGAACUGCCCACCCAGAAGGCAUGGGUUGUCAUCUGCUGCCACCUUCCAGCCUACUGUCGAGAGCUGCUGCUUCGUCGUCUCCGCAGCCGCUGCUGCCCGGUGCGCCAACGAACUCUUUGCCCAGUCUGUCAGGCUGCCUCCUCACACAGUGAUAAUCUUGUUUUUCAUCUCUGUAUACCGAUUCUAGAUUUGCCACUUAAUAUAAUACUCUAGUUAACGUAUUACAAAGUUUUACUCGGAGUGUAGUUUCUCAUAAAUGUCUUAAAACUAUUUUUAAUUUCUACAAGUGUGGUUUGUGUG
RNA transcript from Salvia splendens (bonfire salvia), 5058 nucleotides. RefSeq lists it as uncharacterized. The transcript is spliced from 6 exons. Lineage: Eukaryota; Viridiplantae; Streptophyta; Magnoliopsida; Lamiales; Lamiaceae. The record is from RefSeq and is a predicted model, not a curated record.